CUGUGGCACUUGAUUGCCCUGGUGGUGUUUACCUCACAAAUGCUGCCUAAUUCAGGCCAGAGGGAAGGCAGAGCCAGUGAAAAGAGCUCCACGGGCUAGAAGAGGGUGGACCCAGGAAGAGAUGGCCUCCCCCUGUCCCUGACUCAACUGGAGCUCAGUUCACUCUGCUUUGAAGGAGUAGGAGGAGAACACUACUCACAAAAAGGAGGGCAAGAACCGGCUUGUUCACCAUUGUAUUCCUGCACCACAGCAUAAGCACUCAAUCAUUAUGGGUUAAAGGCUGAAAUUCAAAAAGAGAAAGGGAGAUGUUAGACACCUACUGACCAAGGAGGUGCCCUCCAUUCUGCUUAACCACCGCCCAGGCCAGUCAUUUCUCUCCCUGGAAGACUUUGAGUCAUGCACGCGCAAGGAAAAUUAGAGACAGGGUUUCACCAUGUUGGUCUCAAACUCCUGACCUCAAGUGAUCCACCUGCCUCAGCCUCCCAAAGUGCUGGGAUUACAGACGUGAGCCACUGCCACACAGCCGAAUAAAGGACAAGAGUAGCAAAGAGGAUUAUGAGCAGUGCAAUACAAAACAAGGCUGCAACAAAAG
This 592-nucleotide long non-coding RNA is filed under the name Homo sapiens (human). RNAcentral's name for it is "long independently transcribed non-coding RNA 2031 (LINC02031)". Lineage: Eukaryota; Metazoa; Chordata; Mammalia; Primates; Hominidae. The record is from RNAcentral.